This 254-nucleotide ribosomal RNA is filed under the name uncultured bacterium. RNAcentral's name for it is "partial 16S ribosomal RNA". It matches the Rfam family "Bacterial small subunit ribosomal RNA", at positions 524 to 776 of the family's 1533-position model. The record is from RNAcentral.
CACGUAGGGGGCGAGCGUUGUCCGGAAUCAUUGGGCGUAAAGAGCUCGUAGGCGGCUCAGUAAGUCGGGUGUGAAACCCCCAGGCUCAACCUGGGGACGCCACUCGAUACUGCUGUGGCUAGAGUCCAGUAGAGGAGUGUGGAAUUCCCGGUGUAGCGGUGAAAUGCGCAGAUAUCGGGAGGAACACCAGUGGCGAAGGCGGCGACCUGGACAGAUAUUGACGCUGAGGUGCGAAAGCGUGGGGAGCAAACAGG